This is a long non-coding RNA of Poecilia latipinna (sailfin molly), 3974 nucleotides long. RefSeq lists it as uncharacterized. The transcript has 2 exons. Lineage: Eukaryota; Metazoa; Chordata; Actinopteri; Cyprinodontiformes; Poeciliidae. The record is from RefSeq and is a predicted model, not a curated record.
GCCUCACGGGCAUGGAUGAUGCCUGUCCUGUACAAGUCUGUGGAGAGAUGUCCUACCAUUCUUCAUAGGGGCCGGGGACCUAUCCACAGAAAACGUGAUUUCUCAUUCAUUCUUCAUACUGAGAAAAACAGGAACAGGAAAUGGACAGAUAAGUGGAUAAUUAGGAUUUAUUUUUCUGCAUGAUGAAUAAUUUUUAAUCUUUUUUUUCCCCUGUAUGACUUGAUAAAUGGUUCCGUAAUUCUUGCUAUUUCAUUCUUGUAUUUUUCCUGGCACAUUUAUAAAAUCAGGAAGUUAAAACUAAAAAAUAAAAUUGUAUUUAUUUAUUCCAUUUUUAGCCAUAUUGACACCACAUAUUGGGUCAUAUAUUCCUGUGAUGGGGAAAUUAAAAUCAUGUGCUGAAAGGGCUUUUUUGUGUACCUCUUCCUGAAACAACUAUGGGGCCCUGAAGGUGUGUGUGUGCAAACUAUCAUCCUUCUACAGACAAAAUGAAUAAAUGAUCUUCAAGUGUUUUAUUUGUUCCCAAUAGCCCAUUUUUAUGCUUUUGUAAUACCAUCAGAGUAACCUUCUUCAUACUCACAACGCAGAGUCACAGGGAAACAUAAAACUCUUAAAUAAAUAAUCAGUAAGAGCAGACAAAUAACAGAACUGAAAAAUUAUUAUUUCAGUUAAAUAGCUUCCUCCUCUUCAUUUCUAUUAAAGCACUGUCCAGUUUCUGGACAGAAGGAACUGGUUUUCUGUGUAUCCAGAGUUUACGGAAGUUUAAAAGGUUAAGGCUGUCCCAAAUAUCUGUGCUGUCCACUUAAAAUAUCUGAAAGCACCGAGGGCUGUGUAAUAAAGUUUCUCGGUAUCUUUUUGAAAACUAAAGGUCACUAAUAAUAAAAUCCCCUCACAGUACAUAAACUUCUUACCCAAAAAUGUUCUUCACCAUGGGCACAGGCAGCACACAUUUCUGAAAGCAGUAUUUACACAGCCCUCCGUAUUCAUCGGUUACUCUGGUGAGGAUAUGAAUGCAAAAACCUAAAAGGAAUUUACAAUUUCAUUAAAUGACUGUGAUCUUACACAAUAUAAUAUUCUCCUCUUUGCAAAAUCUGUCUUGAGAAUCAAGGGUCCUGGGUCCUCUCCUCUGCUCUCUUCUCUUACUCACCCCACAGGGUUUCAUAGGCCUGGAGGGCAAAGAUGACCAUGUUUCUGGUGAACCAUAUAUUUGCUGUUUUGGCCAUUUGAUUUUGAUCAUUAGCCUGAAGAAAAAUGCAGUCAUGACUUGUUUUCACUUUUUAAGUAGAAUUUCAUUUCAUUUCAAUUAGUCAUUUAUAAAAGUUUCUGGGUUUGUUAAAAGAGAAAUAAGCACCUAACAUUUUAGAUGCUUAUUUCAGUGCAGUGUUUUUCCUCUCCACUGCCACUAAUGUCUGCUCAGCAUGAGGGAUUGUUGCAAAGUUAACAACACAACAUAGGCGAUUAUGCUGCUGUUGCUAUGUGCUCGUCCAGAAGAAGUGAAUGCCAAAGGUCAAGGUGUCACUGGAAUCUGGUUCCUUAGGUAGAAAACAUAUUAAAGUAAUAUAAAUAAUAAUCUGAACUUGAAGCACUAUUUGAGAAGUGGGAUCAAUUGGAAUGUAUGUGUGACUUUCCAGCAUCUAUUCUUAUGAAUUACUAAUCUUACCGACAUAAGCACAUGGUUACAACCAAUCAAAUAAAAAUAGCAGUUAAUUGUUGUUAUGGACUUGGUGACCUGCCGAAGAGAAAUAAGCUUCUAUCUCACAUCAAGAUAAUUCCUACAGGGAUUGUCAAGCUGGAGAAACUCUAUACAAUUUUUUUUUUUUUUUGCCUGAUUUUAUCUCUGAUUGCCAGUCGGGAAAUGUCUGUCAGUCUGCACUAGCUACUAUGAGGUGGGGUGAAAACCGGACUUUGAGGGGGAGCUAAACUGACCUGACCUCUUUUGCAGUCAAACAAACAUGUUUGACUUUUCGAGGCAGAUCUGGAAGCAGUCAGGUUGUGUGAACUGAACAUUGACCCAUCUGCUAUGUCUGUUUCUGACAGCCAAUAAAGAAAAGAGACUGGAACAUGACAACAGCUCUGAACUGACUAUUUCUUUCUUUGUAACUAAGCAACAUUAUGUACAGAAAAGCAAAAGAGCAUAAAGCAUCAUACCAGCUCUCACCCAACUAAAUACCAUAACACAAUGUAACAUGUUAAACAAAUAAAAAACUACAGAGAAAUACUUGGACAUUCAAGACUAAAACACACUAAAUAAUUAGAUGCCUUACUUCAUUAUUUGGUUUACUGAAAUAAACCAAACUGUUUCCAUAAUUCAAAGAAAGGCAAUGAGACUUAAUUUAACGAACUGACAUUUCUACAAUACAAUCAUUCCAAAACCCACAGACAAAUGCAUAGCCUCUUAUACAUGUUCCAACUACCAACAGGAGUAGAACAAACAAUACAGCUGAAUUAAUCUGAAUCAUAUUCAGCUUCAUCUCUGCUUCAAUAUAUGUGGGGGUGUAACAGAAACAUAGCUUGUCCAAAGUCUGAGAAUUUCUUUUAUUACCACCAUCGUACUGAUAUUUUUGUUCCUUUAGACUGUCAACCUUGCAAGAGUUUCCAUGAAGCCUUGAUGUGCUCAGUUGGCUUUAGUUUGUCUGUAAUAUCCUGUGAUCUGUGAUCCAGCAUCAGACACAGUCACACAGUUAAGUGUCUGGACCUCGGUCUUUCCCAGUCUUUUCAAAAUCUGACCGUGAAAGUCAUCUGGUGUGUUCCUGACCAAUAAGCCGUCUGACAUCUUAUGCAGUGUAUAUAAAUAUCUGGUUUCAAUUGUACUUGAACGAAUUACAACCGAAUUCAUCUAUUAGCAUCCCUGCCAAUACUACUGUAACCUACCCUAUUUGAAUAUACUAAGAUGAUGCAGAAACAAAAAAAUAAUUAAUCUAUUAGGCAUGUCAGUGCUUGUUCAGCUUGAAAUCUAUUCUUGUAUUAAACUGGCAGAAACAUAAAAGGUAAUACAGCUCCAGUUGUCUUGGUUGUAUUCCCUGUAACUAAUUUCAUAAGACAUGGCCAAUCAGACAUGCUAAUUGUAAGCACAAGGCUGCCGUAAUUGGAACAGUUUUGACCUGUUAGCCCAGUUGAGUGCAGUGGUGCAUGAAUAAGCAGCACCUCAUAUAUUUCAUGUGUGCUGCAGGAAACAAUCUCUAAAAGUCUUUUUUUUUUUUUUUGAUUUUCUGAUAGCACAAAGGUCCUGAAAGUGACAGUGGAGCAGCACAUUCAGUCUGUGGUGAAAUCAAAGUACACUGAAUGUUAUGGAUUGCUCACAGCCUGGCUUGUCUCAUAUGCAUCUUUCUUUGCUUGUUUUUAUUCCUCUUCAUCUGCUUUUGAAAAGAGGGAACAACAAAUAUGGAAGCUAUCACCUCUCAUCAGUGACAAAGACAAAAUGCCCUUAUUGUGGAGUUUUUGUGCAAUAGCUCGCAAUAACAAACCUGGAGCAUUACACGAAAGGAAGUGAUAAUGUCUGUAUUUUUCUAGACAAAUGAAGCAAGACAUCUCUAGACAAUAUAGUAGGGAGCUGUUUUAUCAAUCAAUUUCAAAACAUACUCCAUCUUUUUGUAAGACUUAGUCAUUUUUCACCAAUCACCUCAUUUAUUCGAGGCAGGGUUGUUAGAUUCAGAUUGACUGCAUUGUAAAAAAAAAAAAAAAGAAAAUCUAUUCAGGUUUUACGUGUUUGCAUUCUGAUAUUUUCACAGGAACAAGUGGUACUACCACAAAACUUUUGAAAACUAUCAUUGUAAGUUUCCUCAGAAUAGAUUUGAAAUCUUAGCAAUAACAUAGCCCUGUUUUUUUUGUUUUUUUUUUGGUAUAGGAGUAAGAUGCAUGUUCUAUUUGGGUAUAAUCAUCUAUGUUUCUUACAAUAUUUUCCGAGCUUCCUGUUGUUCUGAUUGUCAGUAGUAGAAGACAGCAAUUUUGAGUUGCCCUAUUUUGGAAGGAAAAAAAAA